AGUCGAGGGGUAUAGUUCUUCGGAGCUAGAGACCGGCGCACGGGUGCGUAACGCGUAUGCAAUCUGCCUUUCACAGAGGGAUAGCCCAGAGAAAUUUGGAUUAAUACCUCAUAGUAUUAUGGAAGGGCAUCCUUUUAUAAUUAAAGUCACAACGGUGAAAGAUGAGCAUGCGUCCCAUUAGCUAGUUGGUAAGGUAACGGCUUACCAAGGCAACGAUGGGUAGGGGUCCUGAGAGGGAGAUCCCCCACACUGGUACUGAGACACGGACCAGACUCCUACGGGAGGCAGCAGUGAGGAAUAUUGGUCAAUGGGCGCAAGCCUGAACCAGCCAUGCCGCGUGCAGGAUGACGGUCCUAUGGAUUGUAAACUGCUUUUGUACGAGAAGAAACACUGAUUCGUGAAUCAGCUUGACGGUAUCGUAAGAAUAAGGAUCGGCUAACUCCGUGCCAGCAGCCGCGGUAAUACGGAGGAUCCAAGCGUUAUCCGGAAUCAUUGGGUUUAAAGGGUCCGUAGGCGGUUUAGUAAGUCAGUGGUGAAAGCCCAUCGCUCAACGGUGGAACGGCCAUUGAUACUGCUGAACUUGAAUUAUUAGGAAGUAACUAGAAUAUGUAGUGUAGCGGUGAAAUGCUUAGAUAUUACAUGGAAUACCAAUUGCGAAGGCAGGUUACUACUAAUGGAUUGACGCUGAUGGACGAAAGCGUGGGGAGCGAACAGGAUUAGAUACCCUGGUAGUCCACGCCGUAAACGAUGGAUACUAG
This 758-nucleotide ribosomal RNA is filed under the name uncultured Bacteroidota bacterium. RNAcentral's name for it is "bacterial SSU rRNA". It matches the Rfam family "Bacterial small subunit ribosomal RNA", at positions 60 to 819 of the family's 1533-position model. Lineage: Bacteria; Pseudomonadati; Bacteroidota. The record is from RNAcentral.